UACAGAGGUCUCAAGCGUUGUUCGGAUUCAUUGGGCGUAAAGGGUGCGUAGGUGGCGGGGUAAGUCAGGUGUGAAAUUUCGGAGCUUAACUCCGAAACUGCAUUUGAUACUGCCUUGCUUGAGGACUGGAGAGGAGACUGGAAUUCACGGUGUAGCAGUGAAAUGCGUAGAUAUGCGGAGGAACACCGAUGGCGAAGGCAAUCCCCUGGACCUGUACUGACGCUCAUGCACGAAAGCGUGGGGAGCAAACAGG
Molecule: ribosomal RNA, 253 nt
Filed under: uncultured bacterium
Lineage: Bacteria
Description: partial 16S ribosomal RNA
Rfam family: Bacterial small subunit ribosomal RNA
Source: RNAcentral